This 1250-nucleotide ribosomal RNA is filed under the name Enterobacter kobei. RNAcentral describes it as "partial 23S ribosomal RNA". It matches the Rfam family "Bacterial large subunit ribosomal RNA", at positions 1570 to 2801 of the family's 2925-position model. The record is from RNAcentral. Lineage: Bacteria; Pseudomonadati; Pseudomonadota; Gammaproteobacteria; Enterobacterales; Enterobacteriaceae.
GAGGCACUACGGUGCUGAAGUAACAAAUGCCCUGCUUCCAGGAAAAGCCUCUAAGCAUCAGGUAACACGAAAUCGUACCCCAAACCGACACAGGUGGUCAGGUAGAGAAUACCAAGGCGCUUGAGAGAACUCGGGUGAAGGAACUAGGCAAAAUGGUGCCGUAACUUCGGGAGAAGGCACGCUGAUAUGUAGGUGAAGCCCCUGCGGGUGGAGCUGAAAUCAGUCGAAGAUACCAGCUGGCUGCAACUGUUUAUUAAAAACACAGCACUGUGCAAACACGAAAGUGGACGUAUACGGUGUGACGCCUGCCCGGUGCCGGAAGGUUAAUUGAUGGGGUUAGCGGCAACGCGAAGCUCUUGAUCGAAGCCCCGGUAAACGGCGGCCGUAACUAUAACGGUCCUAAGGUAGCGAAAUUCCUUGUCGGGUAAGUUCCGACCUGCACGAAUGGCGUAAUGAUGGCCAGGCUGUCUCCACCCGAGACUCAGUGAAAUUGAACUCGCUGUGAAGAUGCAGUGUACCCGCGGCAAGACGGAAAGACCCCGUGAACCUUUACUAUAGCUUGACACUGAACACUGGUCCUUGAUGUGUAGGAUAGGUGGGAGGCUUUGAAGCGUGGACGCCAGUCUGCGUGGAGCCGCCCUUGAAAUACCACCCUUUAAUGGCUGGUGUUCUAACGUAGACCCGUGAUCCGGGUUGCGGACAGUGUCUGGUGGGUAGUUUGACUGGGGCGGUCUCCUCCCAAAGAGUAACGGAGGAGCACGAAGGUUAGCUAAUCCUGGUCGGACAUCAGGAGGUUAGUGCAAUGGCAUAAGCUAGCUUGACUGCGAGAGUGACGGCUCGAGCAGGUGCGAAAGCAGGUCAUAGUGAUCCGGUGGUUCUGAAUGGAAGGGCCAUCGCUCAACGGAUAAAAGGUACUCCGGGGAUAACAGGCUGAUACCGCCCAAGAGUUCAUAUCGACGGCGGUGUUUGGCACCUCGAUGUCGGCUCAUCACAUCCUGGGGCUGAAGUAGGUCCCAAGGGUAUGGCUGUUCGCCAUUUAAAGUGGUACGCGAGCUGGGUUUAGAACGUCGUGAGACAGUUCGGUCCCUAUCUGCCGUGGGCGCUGGAGAAUUGAGGGGGGCUGCUCCUAGUACGAGAGGACCGGAGUGGACGCAUCACUGGUGUUCGGGUUGUCAUGCCAAUGGCACUGCCCGGUAGCUAAAUGCGGAAGAGAUAAGUGCUGAAAGCAUCUAAGCACGAAACUUGCCCCG